CGGAGUGUAGCGCAGCCCGGUAGCGCACACCUUUGGGGUGGGUGUGGUCGCGGGUUCAAAUCCCGCCACUCCGACCG
RNAcentral lists this transfer RNA (77 nucleotides) under Chlorobiota bacterium. RNAcentral describes it as "Chlorobi bacterium tRNA-Pro". It matches the Rfam family "tRNA". Rfam says of the family: Transfer RNA (tRNA) molecules are approximately 80 nucleotides in length. Lineage: Bacteria; Pseudomonadati; Chlorobiota. The record is from RNAcentral.